Molecule: ribosomal RNA, 700 nt
Filed under: uncultured archaeon
Lineage: Archaea
Description: bacterial SSU rRNA
Rfam family: Archaeal small subunit ribosomal RNA
Source: RNAcentral
AGCUGUAAACUAUGCAAACUCAGUGAUGCAUUGGCUUGUGGCCAAUGCAGUGCUGCAGGGAAGCCGUUAAGUUUGCCGCCUGGGAAGUACGUACGCAAGUAUGAAACUUAAAGGAAUUGGCGGGGGAGCACCACAAGGGGUGAAGCCUGCGGUUCAAUUGGAGUCAACGCCAGAAAUCUUACCCGGAGAGACAGCAGAAUGAAGGUCAAGCUGAAGACUUUACCAGACAAGCUGAGAGGUGGUGCAUGGCUGUCGCCAGCUCGUGCCGUGAGAUGUCCUGUUAAGUCAGGUAACGAGCGAGAUCCCUGCCUCUAGUUGCCACCAUUACUCUCAGGAGUAGUGGGGCGAAUUAGCGGGACCGCCGCAGUUAAUGCGGAGGAAGGAGGGGGCCACGGCAGGUCAGUAUGCCCCGAAACUCUGGGGCCACACGCGGGCUGCAAUGGUAGUGACAAUUGGUUCCGAAUCCGAAAGGAGGAGGUAAUCCUCAAACGCUACCACAGUUAUGACUGAGGGCUGCAACUCGCCCUCACGAAUAUGGAACCCCUAGUAACUGCGUGUCAUUAUCGCGCGGUGAAUACGUCCCUGCUCCUUGCACACACCGCCCGUCGUUUCAUUAAAGUUUGCUUUUAGCGAGGUGACGUCUGAUUGGCGUUAUCGAACUUGAGGUAAGUGACAAGGGAAAAGUCGUAACAAGGUAGCC